Molecule: small RNA, 52 nt
Filed under: Sinorhizobium meliloti 2011
Lineage: Bacteria; Pseudomonadati; Pseudomonadota; Alphaproteobacteria; Hyphomicrobiales; Rhizobiaceae
Description: putative ncRNA
Source: RNAcentral
GUUAAUGUUUUGGAAAGAAGGCCGCGAAAGCCGCGUCUUUUCAUGGAACGUU